GACGAACGCUGGCGGCGUGCUUAACACAUGCAAGUCGAACGGAAAGGCCCUGCUUUUGUGGGGUGCUCGAGUGGCGAACGGGUGAGUAACACGUGAGUAACCUGCCCUUGACUUUGGGAUAACUUCAGGAAACUGGGGCUAAUACCGGAUAGGAGCUCCUGCUGCAUGGUGGGGGUUGGAAAGUUUCGGCGGUUGGGGAUGGACUCGCGGCUUAUCAGCUUGUUGGUGGGGUAGUGGCUUACCAAGGCUUUGACGGGUAGCCGGCCUGAGAGGGUGACCGGCCACAUUGGGACUGAGAUACGGCCCAGACUCCUACGGGAGGCAGCAGUGGGGAAUAUUGCACAAUGGGCGGAAGCCUGAUGCAGCAACGCCGCGUGCGGGAUGACGGCCUUCGGGUUGUAAACCGCUUUCGCCUGUGACGAAGCGUGAGUGACGGUAAUGGGUAAAGAAGCACCGGCUAACUACGUGCCAGCAGCCGCGGUGAUACGUAGGGUGCGAGCGUUGUCCGGAUUUAUUGGGCGUAAAGGGCUCGUAGGUGGUUGAUCGCGUCGGAAGUGUAAUCUUGGGGCUUAACCCUGAGCGUGCUUUCGAUACGGGUUGACUUGAGGAAGGUAGGGGAGAAUGGAAUUCCUGGUGGAGCGGUGGAAUGCGCAGAUAUCAGGAGGAACACCAGUGGCGAAGGCGGUUCUCUGGGCCUUUCCUGACGCUGAGGAGCGAAAGCGUGGGGAGCGAACAGGCUUAGAUACCCUGGUAGUCCACGCUGUAAACGGUGGGUACUAGGUGUGGGGUCCAUUCCACGGGUUCCGUGCCGUAGCUAACGCUUUAAGUACCCCGCCUGGGGGGUACGGCCGCAAGGCUAAAACUCAAAGGAAUUGACGGGGCCCCGCACAAGCGGCGGAGCAUGCGGAUUAAUUCGAUGCAACGCGUAGAACCUUACCUGGGUUUGACAUGGAUCGGAAGCGCUCAGAGAUGGGUGUGCCUCUUUUGGGGUCGGUUCACAGGUGGUGCAUGGCUGUCGUCAGCUCGUGUCGUGAGAUGUUGGGUUAAGUCCCGCAACGAGCGCAACCCUUGUUCACUGUUGCCAGCACGUUAUGGUGGGGACUCAGUGGAAACCGCCGGGGUUCAACUCGGAGGAAGGUGGGGAUGACGUCAAGUCAUCAUGCCCCUUAUGUCCCAGGCUUCCCGCAUGCUACAAUGGCUGGUACCAAAAGUGGCCAGCCUGUGAGGGUGAACGAAUCUCGCGAAAGCCGGUCUCAAUUCGGAAUGGGGCCUGGAACUCCACCUCAUGAAAUCGGGAUCCCUAGAAAUCGCACAUCACUCACCCUGCGGGUGAAUAGAUUCCCGGGCU
RNAcentral lists this ribosomal RNA (1348 nucleotides) under uncultured bacterium. RNAcentral describes it as "bacterial SSU rRNA". It matches the Rfam family "Bacterial small subunit ribosomal RNA", at positions 28 to 1381 of the family's 1533-position model. The record is from RNAcentral.